UAGGACAUGGUGUAUGUUGGUAGCACGAUGGAUUUUGAAUCCUUAGGGGCAGGUUCGAUGCCUGUAGUUCUAG
RNAcentral lists this transfer RNA (73 nucleotides) under Phaner electromontis. RNAcentral's name for it is "tRNA-Gln". It matches the Rfam family "tRNA". Rfam says of the family: Transfer RNA (tRNA) molecules are approximately 80 nucleotides in length. Their secondary structure includes four short double-helical elements and three loops (D, anti-codon, and T loops). Lineage: Eukaryota; Metazoa; Chordata; Mammalia; Primates; Cheirogaleidae. The record is from RNAcentral. RNAcentral also lists the same sequence under 1 other name.